This 152-nucleotide ribosomal RNA is filed under the name uncultured bacterium. RNAcentral describes it as "partial 16S ribosomal RNA". It matches the Rfam family "Bacterial small subunit ribosomal RNA", at positions 338 to 483 of the family's 1533-position model. The record is from RNAcentral.
CCUACGGGAGGCAGCAGUGGGGAAUAUUGCGCAAUGGGGGAAACCCUGACGCAGCGACGCCGCGUGAGCGAAGAAGGCCUUCGGGUUGUAAAGCUCUGUUGUAAGGGACGAAAGAAUAAGGGAGUAACUGCCCUUAAAGUGACGGUACGUAC